GGAUGCAAGGACAACCUUGCUAUGACAUCUGUCACCCCACUGAUCGCCAGGGUUGAUUCGGAUGACCUGGCUGGCUAGGCUGGUGUCCCCUUCCUCCCUCACUGCUCCAUGUGUGUCCCUCCCAAAGCUGCGCAUUCAGUGGAAGAGGGUGACCACCCGUGAUAGAGGAGGACCGUAGAGUAGCUGCACUCCCCUGCUAGACCCUCCAAACAAGCUCUCAAGAACUGGGUGUGCUGACACACUCCUGUAAUCCCAGCUACUCUUGAAGCUUGAGGCAAGAGGAUCCCAAGUU
Fukomys damarensis (Damara mole-rat) is the source of this 292-nucleotide unclassified non-coding RNA. Its record names the gene 7SK. It matches the Rfam family "7SK RNA". Rfam says of the family: 7SK was discovered as an abundant small nuclear RNA in the mid-70s but a possible function has only recently been suggested. Two independent studies have found that 7SK RNA binds the CDK9/cyclin T complex (known as elongation factor P-TEFb). The record is from Ensembl. Lineage: Eukaryota; Metazoa; Chordata; Mammalia; Rodentia; Bathyergidae.